Triticum aestivum (bread wheat) is the source of this 373-nucleotide long non-coding RNA. RefSeq lists it as uncharacterized. The transcript is spliced from 2 exons. Lineage: Eukaryota; Viridiplantae; Streptophyta; Magnoliopsida; Poales; Poaceae. The record is from RefSeq and is a predicted model, not a curated record.
AGAGGGUAUGCGUCAGAGGCCAGUCGGCAGAGGUGCAUGCAGGUUUGUGCUUGAGGGUGCACGCGAGCCGGUGGCUACAGGCAGAGGGUGCGGCCUGUGUGUGCGUGUUGUGGUCGCCUGAUUUGAUUGUAAAUCGUGUAGAGCAAAGGCGGCUUCUGUGGCGCCGGAGCAACAAUUUCAGUGAGCACAUGGACUUGAUGCAGGGAGGGUCGUCGAAGAGAAGGACGGCGGACCGGCCUACACAUGAUGGAACACACAUUGCCGACGAUGCGGUACCAGGCCUGGAGAAGAGAUCCCGAGGUGUUUGAUGAAAUGCCCUCCGUCCGGAAAUACUUGUCAUCAAAAUGAAUAGAAGGAGAUCACAAUGUUGGAC